GCGCGUCUGCAAUGCAGGUGCCGGCUCGCCUAUUUUGAUCCUAACACUAUCAAAAUAGGGAGUCCGACUCGAUUACAACGCGCUGGUGUGCAAGCUCCCGGCGGGGUUGCCUGUGGAUCUCGCAAGGGAGAAGCCUGAAAGCGCUCGGAGGACGCCCACCCCGUUUACAAACGAGGGUCAAUAACGGGGGUCGGCACGGCCGAGUGGUGCGCU
This 213-nucleotide non-coding RNA is filed under the name Terriglobia bacterium. RNAcentral's name for it is "6S RNA". It matches the Rfam family "6S / SsrS RNA". From Rfam's summary of the family: E. coli 6S RNA was the first non coding RNA to be sequenced, but its function was unknown until recently. It consists of 184 nucleotides that fold into an extended hairpin structure with a large single-stranded internal bulge. Lineage: Bacteria; Pseudomonadati; Acidobacteriota; Terriglobia. The record is from RNAcentral.